UACGUAGGGUGCAGGCGUUAAUCGGAAUUACUGGGCGUAAAGCGUGCGCAGGCGGUUUCUUAAGUCAGAUGUGAAAGCCCCGGGCUUAACCUGGGAACUGCGUUUGAAACUGGGAGACUUGAGUGUGGCAGAGGGGGGUAGAAUUCCACGUGUAGCAGUGAAACGCGUAGAUAUGUGGAGGAACACCGAUGGCGAAGGCAGCCCCCUGGGUUAACACUGACGCUCAUGCACGAAAGCGUGGGGAGCAAACAGG
RNAcentral lists this ribosomal RNA (253 nucleotides) under uncultured bacterium. RNAcentral's name for it is "partial 16S ribosomal RNA". It matches the Rfam family "Bacterial small subunit ribosomal RNA", at positions 524 to 776 of the family's 1533-position model. The record is from RNAcentral.